This 387-nucleotide unclassified non-coding RNA is filed under the name soil metagenome. RNAcentral describes it as "partial contains 5.8S ribosomal RNA, internal transcribed spacer 2, and large subunit ribosomal RNA". The stretch from base 1 to 120 matches the Rfam family "5.8S ribosomal RNA", at positions 35 to 154 of the family's 154-position model. The record is from RNAcentral.
GAUGAAGAACGCAGCGAAAUGCGAUAAGUAAUGUGAAUUGCAGAAUUCAGUGAAUCAUCGAAUCUUUGAACGCACCUUGGACCCUUUGGUAUUCCGAAGGGUAGGCUCGUUUGAGUGUCAUUGUACUCUCACACUUCUAAUUCCUUUCGGGAUUGGGAGCGGUGGACUUGGGUGUUGCUGCUUUAGUUGUGGCUCACCUCAAAUAAGUUAGUGCAACUCUUGGUUGGACAUAGUACGGCGUGAUAAGUGUCUUCGCCGGCGCCUCUGUAAGGAGGGUGGCCGAUCGGGAGCUCUGUGCUUCAAACCGUCUUCGGACAAUCUUUGACAACUUGACCUCAAAUCGAGUAGGACUACCCGCUGAACUUAAGCAUAUCAAUAAGCGGAGGA